RNAcentral lists this ribosomal RNA (503 nucleotides) under uncultured bacterium. Its description in RNAcentral is "partial 16S ribosomal RNA". It matches the Rfam family "Bacterial small subunit ribosomal RNA", at positions 899 to 1397 of the family's 1533-position model. The record is from RNAcentral.
ACUCAAAGGAAUUGACGGGGGCCCGCACAAGCGGUGGAGCAUGUUGUUUAAUACGUCACUAACCGUAGAACCUUACCAGGGCUUGACAUCCGGCGCUACCCGGUGAAAGCCGGGGUUCCCCGCAAGGGGACGCCGAGACAGGUGUUGCAUGGCUGUCGUCAGCUCGUGUCGUGAGAUGUUGGGUUAAGUCCCGCAACGAGCGCAACCCCCAUCCCAUGUUGCCAGCGGGUCAAGCCGGGGACUCUUGGGGAACUGCCCGGGUAACCGGGAGGAAGGUGGGGACGACGUCAAGUCAGCAUGGCCCUUACGCCCUGGGCUACAAACAUGCUACAAUGGGCGGCAGACAGAGGGAUCCGAGGUCGCGAGACGGAGGCAACCCCAGAAAUCCGCCCCCAGUUCAGAUCGCAGGCUGCAACUCGCCUGCGUGAAGUCGGAAUCGCUAGUAACCGCCGGUCAGAUAAACGGCGGUGAAUACGUUCCCGGGCCUUGUACACACCGCCCGU